CACCAGCCAUGUGUCAGUUUC
Molecule: non-coding RNA, 21 nt
Filed under: Arabidopsis thaliana (thale cress)
Lineage: Eukaryota; Viridiplantae; Streptophyta; Magnoliopsida; Brassicales; Brassicaceae
Source: RNAcentral